UUCCCUACGGGAGGCAGCAGUGGGGAAUAUUGCACAAUGGGGGAAACCCUGAUGCAGCGACGCCGCGUGAAGGAAGAAGUAUUUCGGUAUGUAAACUUCUAUCAGCAGGGAAGAAAAUGACGGUACCUGACUAAGAAGCCCCGGCUAACUACGUGCCAGCAGCCGCGGUAAUACGUAGGGGGCAAGAGUUAUCCGGAUUUACUGGGUGUAAAGGGAGCGUAGACGGAAAGGCAAGUCAGAAGUGAAAGCCCAAGGCUCAACCAUGGGACUGCUUUUGAAACUGUCAAACUAGAGUACGGGAGAGG
RNAcentral lists this ribosomal RNA (305 nucleotides) under uncultured bacterium. RNAcentral describes it as "bacterial SSU rRNA". It matches the Rfam family "Bacterial small subunit ribosomal RNA", at positions 335 to 657 of the family's 1533-position model. The record is from RNAcentral.